AACGAACGCUGGCGGCAUGCCUAACACAUGCAAGUCGAACGAGACCUUCGUGUCUAGUGGCGCACGGGUGCGUAACGCGUGGGAACCUGCCCUUAGGUUCGGAAUAACUCCCCGAAAUGGGUGCUAAUACCGGAUAAUGUCUUCGGACCAAAGAUUUAUCGCCUUUGGAUGGGCCCGCGUUGGAUUAGCUAGUUGGUAGGGUAAAAGCCUACCAAGGCGACGAUCCAUAGCUGGUCUGAGAGGAUGAUCAGCCACACUGGGACUGAGACACGGCCCAGACUACUACGGGAGGCAGCAGUGGGGAAUAUUGGACAAUGGGCGAAAGCCUGAUCCAGCAAUGCCGCGUGAGUGAUGAAGGCCUUAGGGUUGUAAAGCUCUUUUACCCGGGAUGAUAAUGACAGUACCGGGAGAAUAAGCUCCGGCUAACUCCGUG
Molecule: ribosomal RNA, 433 nt
Filed under: uncultured bacterium
Lineage: Bacteria
Description: partial 16S ribosomal RNA
Rfam family: Bacterial small subunit ribosomal RNA
Source: RNAcentral